Non-coding RNA from Pelobates cultripes (western spadefoot toad), 211 nucleotides. Lineage: Eukaryota; Metazoa; Chordata; Amphibia; Anura; Pelobatidae. The record is from the annotation of a GenBank genome assembly.
GAACUGGCUGGCUCCGCCCACUUAAUGUUUUGGCGCGAGAAGCAUAGAUUUGCUGGCGUGAACACACUUUCCUGAUUGGCUGCAUAAGGAUUCAGAUGUUGGGAGAAUAAGGUAUUUAAGAGCUUUUUUAUUUACAGCCUGUUUGCCUCUGACGAAGGUGCUGGCUUCACAGCACCGAAACGCGCGUCAGGCGUUUUAUUUUUAUUUUUUC